RNAcentral lists this transfer RNA (76 nucleotides) under Fidelibacterota bacterium. RNAcentral describes it as "tRNA-His". It matches the Rfam family "tRNA". From Rfam's summary of the family: Transfer RNA (tRNA) molecules are approximately 80 nucleotides in length. Their secondary structure includes four short double-helical elements and three loops (D, anti-codon, and T loops). Lineage: Bacteria; Pseudomonadati; Fidelibacterota. The record is from RNAcentral.
GUGGCUGUAGUUCAGUUGGUUAGAGCACCGGAUUGUGAUUCCGGUUGUCGUGGGUUCGAGUCCCAUCAGCCACCCA